Molecule: ribosomal RNA, 372 nt
Filed under: uncultured organism
Description: partial 16S ribosomal RNA
Rfam family: Bacterial small subunit ribosomal RNA
Source: RNAcentral
UGAGGGUGCAAGCGUUAAUCGGAAUUACUGGGCGUAAAGCGAGUGUAGGCGGCUACUUAAGUCGGAUGUGAAAUCCCCGGGCUCAACCUGGGAAUUGCAUUCGAAACUGAGUGGCUAGAGUUUGGUAGAGGUAAGUGGAAUUCCGGGUGUAGCGGUGAAAUGCGUAGAUAUCCGGAGGAACAUCAGUGGCGAAGGCGGCUUACUGGACCAAAACUGACGCUGAGGCUCGAAAGCGUGGGGAGCAAACAGGGAUUAGAUACCCUGGUAGUCCACGCCCUAAACGAUGUCAACUAGACGUUGGGUUCAUUAAGGAACUUAGUGUCGAAGCUAACGCGUUAAGUUGACCGCCUGGGGAGUACGGCCGCAAGGUUG